AAAAAAAAAAAAAAAAACUAAGUCAACUGGGGGCAAAAAUGUCAUUGUGCCCCUCCAGCCCUAUAGGGGUCCAAGGAGAAUCCCGUCACAUCCCCUGCAAAAGAGUUAGAGAGAAAUUGGAAAGGAGUUAGCCGCGAAGAUUAUCGGACCAUCGUCGAAAUCCACCUUCAGACGAGACUUGUACAAGGACUGAGAAGUUAGCGAGGCCGACGCUCCGUCAAGACCCAAGAACAUUUCGCGAGGAACAACUCUACGCACGAUCUAUGAAGAAGUUUGGCUGAGACCUCAAUCCGAAGGCGGAGAUCCGAGAAUCGUCCAAGAACGGGACCUAAUAUAAAGAAAUCAGUAUUUUUGGACACCUCACGGGUAAAGAAACGCUAGCAAAAAGGCACGCAUCAACCAGGUAAAUCACCACCCGGUAUUUAGGAAGAAAUACUUGUAGGAUUCGCUUGGAUUGCAUGCAUGCUAGUAGUUUUGCUUCG
This is a long non-coding RNA of Cucurbita moschata (crookneck pumpkin), 482 nucleotides long. RefSeq lists it as uncharacterized. The transcript is spliced from 3 exons. NCBI's taxonomy places the organism in Eukaryota, Viridiplantae, Streptophyta, Magnoliopsida, Cucurbitales, Cucurbitaceae. The record is from RefSeq and is a predicted model, not a curated record.